GCGCGCGCUGUGACGUUCCCUACGCGGUCGGGCGUUGGGUUUCGCGGCGCUCGCCGCACUGGUUGUUCAGCACCUUCGGUCCGGUUGAGGUUGUCAAGUCGGACCAAACAGGUUGUUUCUCUGCAGUUUCCAACAUGGCAGGGAGGUUUAAUAGACAUGGAUAAGAAGUCCACUCACAGAAAUCCUGAAGAUGCCAGGGCUGGCAAAUAUGAAGGUAAACACAAACGAAAGAAAAGAAGAAAGCAAAACCAAAACCAGCACCGAUCCCGACAUAGAUCAGUGACGUCUUUUUCUUCAGAUGAUCCUAUGUUUCCUUCUUCCUCAUCAUCGUCUUCAGGAAGCCAGACAGAUUCAAGUAUUGAAGAUGCUGCCAAGGGAAAAAUUAAGAAGAAGAGAAGAGAGAAAACAAAUAAAUGGGAAAAAAGAAAGGCUGCACAAGAAUGGCGCCAGUAUCUGCUUCUGGCAAGAGACUGAGGCUGCUUCCACUCAUGGCAGAAGGUGAAGGGGCGCCUGCAACUGCAGAUCUCAUGGUGAGAGAGAAGGCAAGAGAGAGAGGAAGAGGUACCAGGCUCUUUCAACAACCAGUUCUAGGACAAAAUAUGAAACACCAAGAAAAAGAGAAGGAAAAAAAGGAGGAAACAACCACAUAUGUCACCUUUCCAAGAGGGACUGAAACUGGGCUGACCCUUUUGAUUUCCAAGCUCAGCGUUUUGGUGUAAGGCGGCCAAAGAAGGAUGCGGAGCCCAGCACUGUGAAGCCUACAAAAACAUUGAUGCGCUGGCUUGGGGAUUUGAAUUUGAACAUCUUUCACACUAAGUUCAGACUCAUGAAACCAAUCUUCAGAUGCUCUGUAAACCACAUAAUAAAGAGUUUGGAAAUUA
Homo sapiens (human) is the source of this 881-nucleotide long non-coding RNA. Ensembl annotates it as long intergenic non-protein coding RNA 467. NCBI's taxonomy places the organism in Eukaryota, Metazoa, Chordata, Mammalia, Primates, Hominidae. The record is from Ensembl.